AAAGCUAGGGGAGCGAAUGGGAUUAGAUACCCCAAUAGUCUUAGCCGUAAACGAUGGAUACUAUGCGCUGUGCGUAUCGACCCGUGCAGUGUUGUAGCUAACGCGUUAAGUAUCC
Molecule: non-coding RNA, 115 nt
Filed under: Erythranthe guttata (spotted monkey flower)
Lineage: Eukaryota; Viridiplantae; Streptophyta; Magnoliopsida; Lamiales; Phrymaceae
Description: Mimulus guttatus (spotted monkey flower) Bacterial small subunit ribosomal RNA
Rfam family: Bacterial small subunit ribosomal RNA
Source: Rfam by way of RNAcentral